Molecule: ribosomal RNA, 385 nt
Filed under: uncultured bacterium
Lineage: Bacteria
Description: bacterial SSU rRNA
Rfam family: Bacterial small subunit ribosomal RNA
Source: RNAcentral
AAUGGGGGAAACCCUGAUGCAGCGACGCCGCGUGAAGGAAGAAGUAUCUCGGUAUGUAAACUUCUAUCAGCAGGGAAGAUAGUGACGGUACCUGACUAAGAAGCCCCGGCUAACUACGUGCCAGCAGCCGCGGUAAUACGUAGGGGGCAAGCGUUAUCCGGAUUUACUGGGUGUAAAGGGAGCGUAGACGGACUGGCAAGUCUGAUGUGAAAGGCGGGGGCUCAACCCCUGGACUGCAUUGGAAACUGUUAGUCUUGAGUGCCGGAGAGGUAAGCGGAAUUCCUAGUGUAGCGGUGAAAUGCGUAGAUAUUAGGAGGAACACCAGUGGCGAAGGCGGCUUACUGGACGGUAACUGACGUUGAGGCUCGAAAGCGUGGGGAGCAAA